GACGAACGCUGGCGGCGUGCUUAACACAUGCAAGUCGAACGGCAAGGCCCUGCUUUUGUGGGCUGCUCGAGUGGCGAACGGGUGAGUAACACGUGAGUAACCUGCCCUUGACUUUGGGAUAACUUCAGGAAACUGGGGCUAAUACCGGAUAGUAGCUCCCGCUGCAUGGUAGGUAUUGGAAAUUUUGGGCGGUUGGGGAUGGACUCGCGGCUUAUCAGCUUGUUGGUGGGGUAGUGGCUUACCAAGGCUUGGACGGGUAGCCGGCCUGGGAGGGUGACCGGCCACAUUGGGACUGAGAUACGGCCCAGACUCCUACGGGAGGCAGAGGUGGGGAAUAUUGUACAACGGGCGGAAGCCUGAUGCAGCAACGCCGCGUGCGGGAUGACGGCCUUCGGGUUGUGAACCGCUUUCGCCUGUGACGAAGCGUGAGUGACGGUAAUGGGUGAAGAAGCACCGGCUAACUACGUG
Molecule: ribosomal RNA, 468 nt
Filed under: uncultured bacterium
Lineage: Bacteria
Description: partial 16S ribosomal RNA
Rfam family: Bacterial small subunit ribosomal RNA
Source: RNAcentral